This 1076-nucleotide long non-coding RNA is filed under the name Homo sapiens (human). RNAcentral describes it as "HSALNT0181060". The record is from RNAcentral. Lineage: Eukaryota; Metazoa; Chordata; Mammalia; Primates; Hominidae.
UGAUUCUGUUUUUUGCAGGGAACAGGUUGGGAGGUGGGGGUCAUAGUUAGGGAGUUCAGCUUUGGCCCCUCGCCCCGCAGGAAAGAAUGAAACUAUUAUCUCAGGAAAAGCUUUCCUAACCUAGCCCUCAAUGUGUGCUUCCUCUUGUAAACUCCCAAAGUAGGUGUGUUUCACUUUGGUUUCGUAAACAAAAUGCUUUUAAAUAUAGUCAAGCAAUAGAGUGAGCCAUCUGUCCAAAGAUUAAGGCACUAAGUAGCAGAAGGUGAAUCUGACUUUCUGCCUUUUCUGCCACACCAUGCUGCUGUGAAGCAUAGCAGAAGCCCCAUCUGGGCCACGACCUCUGGAUUUUGGUUCCAGCUUGCUGCUUCUUACGUACUCUUUCUGCUUUUCAAAACAGCCAAGAAAGCAGUGAUGCUUCUAAGGCCUCUAGCCACUGCAAUUCUAAACAAACAGCCUGAAUACAGGCUGGGGGUGAGAGGGGAGUGGGAUGAAUUUCAGUAUCAGCUGAGACUAUGGGGGAGCUCUGCUGCGGCACGUAACAGCUAACAGCGGUUGUGGCAGGAUGAGGCCUGACCUUUAUGGCAAGAUCAUUUAUAGACCUUCCUUCUGUCCCAGUUAGAAUACGUCAAUGUCACAUCUAACACACUUUCUUCUUAGAAAUUCUUGGUUAUCAAAACAACUUGAGAGAACUGUUAUGGUGAAAAGAAGCACUGGAGUUGGCAUUUGAGGGUCUGUUUCAGAUUCUGCUCUUCAUUUAAUGUCUGUGUGGCCUUUGGCAAUUCCGUUUGCCUAAGUUUCACUUAACUGUUGGUAACAUUAACAGUUGCCUUAAGAGUUUAGUGAGUGUUUGAUAAGGCAAAUAUAUAUGUAAAUGUUCAGAUAUCUAGGCACUUAAUGUCAAUUGAAAAGGAUUUAUUUCUAAUAUUAUAACAUCUGCUACAACUUUAAAAAGCUGUUACAUAAUUAAAUCGUGUCCCGACUUCUCGCUUUGAUACCCUGGACCUUGGUUCAGAUGGAUUUUGUUAGGGUAUACAGUCAACCAAACCUGGUAGAUUACAAUAACGGCCCCAAUUCUC